AGCCAGCAGCCGCGGUAAAACGUAGGAGGCGAGCGUUAUCCGGAUUUACUGGGCGUAAAGCGCGUGCAGGCGGUUUGGAAAGUUGGAUGUGAAAGCUCCCGGCUCAACUGGGAGAGGUCGUUCAAAACUACCGGACUAGAGUACAGUAGAGGGAAGUGGAAUUCCGGGUGUAGUGGUGAAAUGCGUAGAUAUCCGGAGGAACACCAGUGGCGAAAGCGGCUUCCUGGACUGUAACUGACGCUCAGACGCGAAAGCUAGGGUAGCAAACGGGAUUAGAGACCCCGGUAGUCCUAGCUGUAAACGAUGUAGACUUGGCGUAGGUGGGUUCAAAUCCUUCUGUGCCGCAGCAAACGCGAUAAGUCUACCGCCUGGGGACUACGGCCGCAAGGUUAAAACUUAAAGGAAUUGGCGGGGGAU
Molecule: ribosomal RNA, 417 nt
Filed under: uncultured bacterium
Lineage: Bacteria
Description: bacterial SSU rRNA
Rfam family: Bacterial small subunit ribosomal RNA
Source: RNAcentral